ACCUCCUGUCCAGUAGACUAUAACCCUCCUCUAACCUCCUGUCCAGUGGACUAUAACCCUCCUCUAACCUCCUGUCCAGUGUAUGUAUGAAAACUAAAAGCAGUGUGGUUCGGCGUUAAGGCUCGGUGUUGGGGUUAGCAGUGUGGUUAAUGUUAGGCGUUAAGGUUCGGCAUUAGGGUUAGCAAUGUGGUUAAGGUUCGGCAUUAGGGUUAGCAAUGUGGUUAAGGUUCGGCAUUAGGGUUAGCAAUGUGGUUAAGGUUCGGCAUUAGGGUUAGCAAUGUGGUUAAGGUUCGGCAUUAGGGUUAGCAAUGUGGUUAAGGUUCGGCAUUAGGGUUAGCAAUGUGGUUAAGGUUCGGCAUUAGGGUUAGCAAUGUGGUUAAGGUUCGGCAUUAGGGUUAGCAAUGUGGUUAAGGUUCGGCAUUAGGGUUAGCAAUGUGGUUAAGGUUCGGCAUUAGGGUUAGCAAUGUGGUUAAGGUUCGGCGUUAGGGUUAGCAGUGUGGUUAAGGUUCGGCGUUAGGGUUAGCAGUGUGGUUAAUGUUAGGCGUUUGGGUUAGCAUUGUGGUUAAGGUUAGGCGUUUGGGUUAGCAGUGUGGUUAAGGUUAGCAGUGUGGUUAAGGUUAGUUAUUAUGGUUAGCAGCGUGGUUAAGGUUUGGCGUAAGGGUUAGCAGUGUGGUUAGGGUUCGUUAUUAGGGUUAGCAGUGUGGUUAAGGUUAGUUAUUAGUGUUAGCAGUGUGGUUAAGGUUAGUUAUUAGGGUUAGCAGUGCGGUUAAGGUUAGUUAUUAGGGUUAGCAGUGUGGUUAAGGUUAGUUAUUAGGGUUAGCAGUGUGGUUAAGGUUAGUUAUUAGGGUUAGCAGUGUGGUUAAGGUUAGUUAUUAGGGUUAGCAGUGUGGUUAAGGUUAGUUAUUAGGGUUAGCAGUGUGGUUAAGGUUAGUUAUUAGGGUUAGCAGUGUGGUUAAGGUUAGUUAUUAGGGUUAGCAGUGUGGUUAAGGUUAGGCGUAAGGGUUAGCAGUGUGGUUAAUGUUAGUUAUUAGGGUUAGCAGUGUGGUUAAGGUUAGUUAUUAGGGUUAGCAGUGUGGUUAAGGUUAGUUAUUAGGGUUAGCAGUGUGGUUAAGGUUAGUUAUUAGGGUUAGCAGUGUGGUUAAGGUUAGUUAUUAGGGUUAGCAGUGUGGUUAAGGUUAGUUAUUAGGGUUAGCAGUGUGGUUAAGGUUAGUUAUUAGGGUUAGCAGUGUGGUUAAGGUUAGUUAUUAGGGUUAGCAGUGUGGUUAAGGUUAGUUAUUAGGGUUAGCAGUGUGGUUAAGGUUAGUUAUUAGGGUUAGCAGUGUGGUUAAGGUUAGUUAUUAGGGUUAGCAGUGUGGUUAAGGUUAGUUAUUAGGGUUAGCAGUGUGGUUAAGGUUAGUUAUUAGGGUUAGCAGUGUGGUU
This is a long non-coding RNA of Oncorhynchus keta (chum salmon), 1419 nucleotides long. RefSeq lists it as uncharacterized. NCBI's taxonomy places the organism in Eukaryota, Metazoa, Chordata, Actinopteri, Salmoniformes, Salmonidae. The transcript has 7 exons. The record is from RefSeq and is a predicted model, not a curated record.